AGCGCCCCGGCGCGCCCCCGCCGGCCCCAAGACCCGCUCGGCAGAGAAAAAACCGCCAGGAGGAAAAGUAGGUAUCUUCAGAGCAUGCCACUUUUCCGUGUGCUUUUCACCUACGCAGUAAUAAUAGCAACAGCACUUAUUAUUGCUAUUAUUAUUAUUAUUAUUAUUAUAAACAGUAUAAUAAUUUUUUCUAGUUUUUGUAGCGGUCUUGAUGAGUAUUCUGUGCUUUUAAAUUUUUUCUUUUUUUUUUUAACCCUUUGCUUUGAGCUUCAGGUUUACAGCAGCUCCUCAUGUGUAGCUGAGACAAUGCCAAGGAGUAACUACCCCCAUCCGUCCGUAUCUGCAGCAGAGCAAAUGUGGUAUAAAUGGGACAGAAGCCGACGGGAGAAGGUGUGCGAUAGAUCCUGA
RNAcentral lists this long non-coding RNA (408 nucleotides) under Struthio camelus australis. Its description in RNAcentral is "lncRNA (ENSSCUG00000003058.1)". The record is from RNAcentral. Lineage: Eukaryota; Metazoa; Chordata; Aves; Struthioniformes; Struthionidae.